RNAcentral lists this ribosomal RNA (135 nucleotides) under proteobacterium CFS-7. Its description in RNAcentral is "partial 16S ribosomal RNA". It matches the Rfam family "Bacterial small subunit ribosomal RNA", at positions 355 to 507 of the family's 1533-position model. Lineage: Bacteria; Pseudomonadati; Pseudomonadota; Alphaproteobacteria; Rhodobacterales; Paracoccaceae. The record is from RNAcentral.
UGGGGAAUCUUGGACAAUGGGGGCAACCCUGAUCCAGCCAUGCCGCGUGAGUGAUGAAGGCCUUAGGGUCGUAAAGCUCUUUCGCCAGAGAUGAUAAUGACAGUAUCUGGUAAAGAAACCCCGGCUAACUCCGUG